GAGUCUCAACUAUUGUAGCAAAACUUCUUAUAUCUGAAAUUAUGGUGCGAGGAGUUGAGGCGCGAAUCGCUGGGCAUGAUGCUUUUCACUUGAUGGAAAAAACUAUAACUAUUGGCCACAGAAAAGCAAAGAACAAUAAUGAUAAGCUCGAGACAGGGAGCAGCGAGUUGGCGACGGUGGUCAAUGGAGAGGUCACGGGUGAUACCAAAAGCGCAGCGUACGGUCGACGGUGGUGUCCGCUUUUGCUCCAUUCUCGGGAAGGCUGUGAUAAAGCAGCGGAAUUCACGGUGAGUUUCGUUUUAUCAUUCCGGCAUCAAACGUCCUUUGGCUUCGUUCCGGCAUCCCCCUGCACUCUUGCUUUGAAAUAGGUUUUGAUUGCUCUAAAAAUAAAAGACUCACCGAUUGGCCUGCACGCUGCUUCUGGAUAGAUCCGGUUUUAUAGUCUUACAGAUUCUUUGUACGAUUGCAGGGCACAUGAAAACGCCUGUUCGGAGGUCUGAUGCAAGGAUUUUAAAAUCCGGCAUAUUCUCUACCUCGGCGAGUGACCUACGGAUUUUCUUUAGGUUUUGCUCUAUACUUUAGAUUUCGCAUAUCAAUAACUCAGCAAUAUGAUAAAUCAAAAUUUAUCGCCUGUCUUAAAAUAAAUUUCAAAAUUAUUUAGCUGAAAAUCCAUUUAUAAAAUAAAAAUAAUCACA
Molecule: long non-coding RNA, 695 nt
Filed under: Elaeis guineensis (African oil palm)
Lineage: Eukaryota; Viridiplantae; Streptophyta; Magnoliopsida; Arecales; Arecaceae
Description: long non-coding RNA (EGUI_LNC026862)
Source: RNAcentral